This 441-nucleotide ribosomal RNA is filed under the name uncultured bacterium. RNAcentral describes it as "partial 16S ribosomal RNA". It matches the Rfam family "Bacterial small subunit ribosomal RNA", at positions 338 to 795 of the family's 1533-position model. The record is from RNAcentral.
CCUACGGGAGGCAGCAGUGGGGGAUAUUGCACAAUGGGGGAAACCCUGAUGCAGCGACGCCGCGUGUGGGAAGACGGUCCUCUGGUUUGUAAACCACUGUCCCCAGGGACGAAGAUGACGGUACCUGACUAAGAAGCCCCGGCUAACUACGUGCCAGCAGCCGCGGUAAUACGUAGGGGGCAAGCGUUAUCCGGAUUUACUGGGUGUAAAGGGAGCGUAGACGGUUAUGGAAGUCUGAAGUGAAAGCCCAAGGCUCAACCAUGGGACUGCUUUGGAAACUGUAAAACUGGAGUGCAGGAGAGGUAAGCGGAAUUCCUAGUGUAGCGGUGAAAUGCGUAGAUAUUAGGAGGAACACCAGUGGCGAAGGCGGCUUACUGGACUGUAACUGACGUUGAGGCUCGAAGGCGUGGGGAGCAAACAGGAUUAGAUACCCGGGUAGUC